RNAcentral lists this long non-coding RNA (2256 nucleotides) under Coffea arabica (coffee). Its description in RNAcentral is "long non-coding RNA (CARA_LNC006894)". The record is from RNAcentral. Lineage: Eukaryota; Viridiplantae; Streptophyta; Magnoliopsida; Gentianales; Rubiaceae.
CUCCCUUGAAGCGACGCCCUAACGUAGUGAAAUUACUAACUUACCCUCCAAAAUAAUAAAAGGGUCAAGGUACCACUUUAUUUAAAAAAAAUUAAAAGAAAUGUGCAAAACAAAGUUCAUUUGAUCAUAAAGUUCCUAAAGUCAUGACUUAAGCGCAAUUGAAACAAAGCAUGGUAGUUAAUUGAAGCAAACAAACAAUGAAGUUGCACAAAUUAAAAUUACCAAGGACCAAAUUGAUGAAAUUAUUUAAUUGAUUGGGUCCUAAUGCCUUUAGUUAGAAGCCAAGGGGUUGAUCUGCAAUUUUCCAGGUUUAUUUCUUCAUGCAAAGCAUGCAAUCACGUAGGAAAAUUUUCUGCAAUGAGAUCAAUAAGACUGCUGCAUUCUUUGCUUCCCUUUCCAAUAUCGUGAUUCAGAUUUAGCCAAAACUUUUCUUGAUCUAACAUUCCAAACUUCAAACCAAACAACAAAGCAUAAACUUGGCAGUCAAACAACCCAAAAACAUAGGGAAAGAUCAUGCAAACAUUCUGGAAAAAUACACAAGAAUGAUUCGGCACUUUGAAGAUUUCUGCAUUUGAAGCUUUCUGCAAAUUUUCCAGCCAUGUCUCCUGCCAUUCUUAUGUUCAUUUUAAUGCCAUUUUCAUCCAGACCAAAUUAGUAUUUUUAUCCUAACAUCAAACGCCUUGAUUCCAAAACAGCAAAACACAACAAUCAACGCCCAAAACCAGCCGAAGGAGAAAAAGAAAAACGGAUAAAUGGAAGCAUACAAUGUUCUGAAAAAAUUUCUGGUAUUGCUUCUAUCCAUUCUAUCAUGCAAAUAAGUUCAUGAAACAGCAAGUUUCUACUCAUUCAUCCUCAAUUAAACACGCAACUUCACUGAAGGGUUGGCACAAAGAAAUAGAGUUGACCAUUAGGGGGGGAAAAAAAACUAACAGCCGUAGAAGGAACGAAAAUGCAGCAAAACCUUUUGUAAUUCGGCACUUUGCAAGAAUCAGUCUCCAUGCUCAAUCAAAACUAAAUACAACUAUGCAAACCUCUUACUUUACAUCAUGAAAACUUUCAGAUUUAGACACCAAAAGCCGGGCAACAAGCAUGCAAAAUCCAAAUGAUUCAAGCAACUUCAAGCAAAGUUUACAAAUUUUCUGCAACAUUGAAAUCUUAUGUAAUGCGGUCCUCCUUUCAAAAGGCAACAAUUAGCAUUCCAAGCAAAACAAAAGACAGACUGGAAUCAAAAUAUCAAACACCAGACUUGCCAUUCAUUUUCAAUACAAAGACUCAAAAUAAACAUGCAAAUCUGGAAGUAAAAAAACGCAACUUCCCACUAUAUUAUCCAAGACAUACAUAGCCAACAAAAUUUGCAGCCAGCGGCAACCUCUUCGAACCCAAAACAAAUACGAUCUUAUGCAUCCUAUCAUCAAAAAUCCAGCCAUAAAUCAUGCAUCUCCCAGAAAUUUCCAACCCAGAUUGUGCAUAAAAAUCACCAAAAGAAAACAGCCAUGAACACUAGAAACGAACACAGCUAAACGCAAAUCCCUUCUCCUCCAAGAACAAACCAGAUUCACGGAUAGAAACUCGCAUGAAGAAUGCAAUCCAGUGCAAAGACUAAGACUUUCAGCAUACAAACAUAACUCAGCAACUUACAAACAAAUCCAAAGUAAAAAAAAUGUUACCUUUAAACCUUGACCGAAAGCUUGAUGUAUUCCAGAAGACGAAAUCUUUGCUUCUUCGUCUCUCCCGCAGAUGCGCUUCCUGAUUCUUUGCCUUGCUUCAACGAAUCCAAAACCUUCUUGCUGCCCAAAGUUUCCUGAACCAACACCUCUAAAACUCACUGCUUUUCUCUUAAUCCGCCGUAAAUCUUCCUCACUCUUUUAUCACUCUUUCUCAGUCGCUGAUUUUCUGCUUUCUUCAGCCGCACACUCUCUGUCUUUUCCCUUCUAGCUUUCUCUCUUUGUUUUUCUAAGUUUCGGCUGUCACCUCUCUCUCGUAUGUCCUCCACCCAGAAUUUUCUCUAGCCUUCAACCUUCUUAAACCCCAGCCGUUAGUCCUUUCCCCCAAAACUCUAUCUUUUCGCUGCCUUUCCUUUUUCUUCUUUUGGUUUAGCCAGAAACCCUCGCUCCUGCGGCUGCUGCUGCAUCUUCUAUUUAUAUGGGGCCACCCCAACCCUAAAACUCCCAUUGUCUCCUCUAAAAUUGCAGCCAAGGGCUGCCCGAGCCCUUACUUGCAAGCUGCGUAAAAACGCAGCUUGCCAUCGCGUAUUCC